AUAUUGUUGCAGUUAAAACGCCCGUAGUCUGAAUUGGCCAGCAAUGGUCGUAUGUAUUUAUACGUUCACUGUGAACAAAUCAGGACGCUUAGAGUAUGGUUUCAUGAAUGACUCAGCGCAGUAUGAAGUCUUUGUUUUCUUCCGAAAACAAGCUCAAUGAGAGCCAUCGGGGGUAGAUCUAUCUCAUGACGAGUGGUGGAAUACUUUGACUCAUGAGAGAGAAUCUGAGGCGAAGGCGUCUACCUAGAGGGUUUCUGUCGAUCAAGGGCGAGAGUAGGAGUAUCCAACAGGAUUAGAGACCCUGGUAGUUCCUACCUUAAACGAUGCCGACAGGAGUUUGUCACUUGUUAGUGGCAGAAUCUUUGGAGAAAUCAUAGUUCUUGGGCUCUGGGGGAACUACGACCGCAAGGCUGAAACUUGAAGGAAUUGACGGAAGGGCACACCAGGGGUGGAGCCUGUGGCUUAAUUUGAAUCAACACGGGGAAACUUACCAGGACCAGAUGUUUUUUAUGACUGACAGGCUUUGGGUCUUUCAGGAUAUUGCUUUUGGUGGUGCAUGGCCGUUGGUGGUGCGUGGGUUGACCUGUCUAGCGUUGAUUCAGCUAACGAGCGAGAUUAUCGCCAAUUAUCUACUUCGUCUAAGUCUUUAGAUGGAAGUUCUAAUUGGGACUCCCUGCGAUUUUAGCAGGUGGAAGAGGGUAGCAAUAACAGGUCCGUGAUGCCCUUUAGAUGCUCUGGGCUGCACGCGUGCUACAAUGUUAGGAUCAAUAGGACUGCAAAGCCGAGAGGCCGCGCUACUCUUAUAAUCCCUAACGUAGUUGGGAUUGACGUUUGUAAUCAGCGUCAUGAACCAGGAAUCCCUUGUAAAUGUGUGUCAACAACGCACGUUGAAUACGUCCCUGCCCUUUGUACACACCGCCCGUCGCUCCUACCGAUUGGAUGACUCGGUGAAAUCACCGGAUGCUUACGAGCAGAAAGUGAUUAAAUCACGUUAUCUAGAGGAAGGA
This 1007-nucleotide ribosomal RNA is filed under the name Trichomonas gallinae. Its description in RNAcentral is "SSU rRNA". It matches the Rfam family "Eukaryotic small subunit ribosomal RNA", at positions 607 to 1784 of the family's 1831-position model. The record is from RNAcentral. Lineage: Eukaryota; Parabasalia; Trichomonadida; Trichomonadidae.